GAGGGAAAGAUGAAAAGCNCUUUGGAAAGAGAGUUAAACAGUACGUGAAAUUGUUAAAAGGGAAACNAUUGAAGUCAGUCGUGUCUGAGAGGCUCAGCCGGUUCUGCCGGUGUAUUCCUCUCGGACGGGUCAACAUCAGUUUUGGUCGGUGGAUAAGGAUGGCGGGAAGGUGGCACCCUCGGGUGUGUUAUAGCCCGCUGUUGCAUACAUCGGUCGAGACUGAGGAAUGCAGCUCGCCUUUAUGGCCGGGGUUCGCCCACGUUCGAGCUUAGGAUGUUGACGUAAUGGCUUUAAACGACCCGUCUUGAAACACGGACCAAGGAGUCUAACAUAUCUGCGAGUGUUUGGGUGUCAAACCCGAGCGCGUAAUGAAAGUGAACGUAGGAGGGAUCCGCAAGGAGCACCUUUGACCGAUCUGGAUCUUCUGUGAUGGAUUUGAGUAAGAGCAUAUAUGCUGGGACCCGAAAGAUGGUGAACUAUGCCUG
Molecule: ribosomal RNA, 485 nt
Filed under: Tremella subalpina
Lineage: Eukaryota; Fungi; Basidiomycota; Tremellomycetes; Tremellales; Tremellaceae
Description: eukaryotic LSU rRNA
Rfam family: Eukaryotic large subunit ribosomal RNA
Source: RNAcentral